Molecule: ribosomal RNA, 1440 nt
Filed under: uncultured organism
Description: 16S ribosomal RNA
Rfam family: Bacterial small subunit ribosomal RNA
Source: RNAcentral
CUCAGGAUGAACGCUAGCUACAGGCUUAACACAUGCAAGUCGAGGGGCAGCAGGAUCUAGCAAUAGAUUGCUGGCGACCGGCGCACGGGUGAGUAACACGUAUCCAACCUGCCGAUAACUCGGGGAUAGCCUUUCGAAAGAAAGAUUAAUACCCGAUAGUAUAAUCAGACCGCAUGGUUUGAUUAUUAAAGAAUUUCGGUUAUCGAUGGGGAUGCGUUCCAUUAGGCAGUUGGUGAGGUAACGGCUCACCAAACCUUCGAUGGAUAGGGGUUCUGAGAGGAAGGUCCCCCACAUUGGAACUGAGACACGGUCCAAACUCCUACGGGAGGCAGCAGUGAGGAAUAUUGGUCAAUGGACGCGAGUCUGAACCAGCCAAGUAGCGUGAAGGAUGACUGCCCUAUGGGUUGUAAACUUCUUUUAUAUGGGAAUAAAGUUUUCCACGUGUGGAAUUUUGUAUGUACCAUAUGAAUAAGGAUCGGCUAACUCCGUGCCAGCAGCCGCGGUAAUACGGAGGAUCCGAGCGUUAUCCGGAUUUAUUGGGUUUAAAGGGAGCGUAGGUGGACAGUUAAGUCAGUUGUGAAAGUUUGCGGCUCCACCGUAAAAUUGCAGUUGAUACUGGCUGUCUUGAGUACAGUAGAGGUGGGCGGAAUUCGUGGUGUAGCGGUGAAAUGCUUAGAUAUCACGAAGAACUCCGAUUGCGAAGGCAGCUCACUGGACUGCAACUGACACUGAUGCUCGAAAGUGUGGGUAUCAAACAGGAUUAGAUACCCUGGUAGUCCACACAGUAAACGAUGAAUACUCGCUGUUUGCGAUAUACAGUAAGCGGCCAAGCGAAAGCAUUAAGUAUUCCACCUGGGGAGUACGCCGGCAACGGUGAAACUCAAAGGAAUUGACGGGGGCCCGCACAAGCGGAGGAACAUGUGGUUUAAUUCGAUGAUACGCGAGGAACCUUACCCGGGCUUAAAUUGCAUUUGAAUAUAUUGGAAACAGUAUAGCCGUAAGGCAAAUGUGAAGGUGCUGCAUGGUUGUCGUCAGCUCGUGCCGUGAGGUGUCGGCUUAAGUGCCAUAACGAGCGCAACCCUUAUCUUUAGUUACUAACAGGUCAUGCUGAGGACUCUAGAGAGACUGCCGUCGUAAGAUGUGAGGAAGGUGGGGAUGACGUCAAAUCAGCACGGCCCUUACGUCCGGGGCUACACACGUGUUACAAUGGGGGGUACAGAAGGCAGCUACCUGGUGACAGGAUGCUAAUCCCAAAAGCCUCUCUCAGUUCGGAUCGAAGUCUGCAACCCGACUUCGUGAAGCUGGAUUCGCUAGUAAUCGCGCAUCAGCCAUGGCGCGGUGAAUACGUUCCCGGGCCUUGUACACACCGCCCGUCAAGCCAUGAAAGCCGGGGGUACCUGAAGUACGUAACCGCAAGGAGCGUCCUAGGGUAAAACUGGU